Molecule: ribosomal RNA, 324 nt
Filed under: uncultured eukaryote
Lineage: Eukaryota
Description: partial 18S ribosomal RNA
Rfam family: Eukaryotic small subunit ribosomal RNA
Source: RNAcentral
CCCUUAGAUGUCCUGGGCUGCACGCGCGCUACACUGAUGUGUCCAGUAGGCACCUAACCUCUUCCGAAAGGAACGGGUAACCUUUGCAAAGCACAUCGUGAUGGGGAUAGAUUAUUGCAAUUAUUAGUCUUGAACGAGGAAUUCCUAGUAAGCACAAGUCAUCAGCUUGUGUUGAUUACGUCCCUGCCCUUUGUACACACCGCCCGUCGCUCCUACCGAUUGAAUGUUCCGGUGAGCUCUUCGGACUGCGCGGUCUGCAGUUUCUGCGUUCCGUGCGGAAAGUUGCGCAAACCUUAACAUUUAGAGGAAGGAGAAGUCGUAACA